Molecule: long non-coding RNA, 193 nt
Filed under: Portunus trituberculatus (swimming crab)
Lineage: Eukaryota; Metazoa; Arthropoda; Malacostraca; Decapoda; Portunidae
Description: uncharacterized LOC123502355
Source: RNAcentral
GUGACCGCCCCACUUGCCCCACCUAGUCCACCAGCUCCACCUGCUCAGUGAAAGGUUUUCAAGAAGCACCAGCACCAAGAGACGCAGUGGCAAGCCUUCACCACAACACUCCACACUGCCUAAUCUUCGUCUAUUAAAGGCUCAGACGUGUGGAUGGAAGGAGUAGGAGGAAGAAGAAGGAGUAACAAUGGAG